RNAcentral lists this ribosomal RNA (253 nucleotides) under uncultured bacterium. Its description in RNAcentral is "partial 16S ribosomal RNA". It matches the Rfam family "Bacterial small subunit ribosomal RNA", at positions 524 to 776 of the family's 1533-position model. The record is from RNAcentral.
UACAGAGGGGGCUAGCGUUGUUCGGAAUUACUGGGCGUAAAGGGCGCGUAGGCGGCCUUCUAAGUCGAACGUGAAAUCCCCGGGCUCAACCCGGGAACUGCGUCCGAUACUGGGAGGCUUGAAUCCGGGAGAGGGAUGUGGAAUUCCAGGUGUAGCGGUGAAAUGCGUAGAUAUCUGGAGGAACACCGGUGGCGAAGGCGGCAUCCUGGACCGGUAUUGACGCUGAGGCGCGAAAGCCAGGGGAGCAAACGGG